Molecule: transfer RNA, 57 nt
Filed under: Angiostrongylus cantonensis (rat lungworm)
Lineage: Eukaryota; Metazoa; Nematoda; Chromadorea; Rhabditida; Metastrongylidae
Description: tRNA-Asn
Source: RNAcentral
UAGGAGUUAGUUUAAAUUGAGAAUUAUUGAUUGUUGAUCAGGAGGUUUUACUCUUAG